GCUACAGGAAGCGUUCUUGGGUGUGUUUUACAAUCCUAGCCAGAAACCACACUAAUAUAAGCUUUAUAAUUUGACCAUUUCAAAAGAAAUAGUCACAUUUGAUAAUUUAAUUCUCAAUAAACUAAAACAGGGAUUGUUAUGUAUAGAACGCUUUCGAUCAUAUGUCGGUUCAGACAACUCAUCUGAUUUUGCCCUUUCUACCAAUGUCUCCGUCUUGUUUACCUUAUCUUUCUGCAACAGAGACCAUUAUAACAUUACCUUUCAGUCAUUUGGACGAAUAUAUCUUUCUCGGCGCUUUUAGAUUUUGCGAGAGAAGUCAAAUCUCCUCAGCGAAUUAUUGAGUCACAUCCGCCAACUCGUAUGAAAUUAACAAAAUAAGAAAACAGCAUUGAUUUUCUAUGGUUCCAGCUUAUUUAUUUAUUAGAUAUAUUAUUAAUAAUUUUAACGUUUUUUUUUAUUGUUUUAAUUAUCAUAACUACCGUUUAACUUUUUUUUCAUUUACAAUGUUGUUGCUGAAUUUAAGGACUCGUGUUCUGGACUUCUUGAAAUCGAAAAAAAAAUUUUUUUUUUGAUUGGAAUAUAGCUUACUAAAAUCUACAGCAAAUUUCCAAGAGUGAAAAAAUUAUUUUUUAAAGUUAUCAGUAAAAUAAUGAAAGCAAUAACAUUCCGAUAUUGCCGUCAAAUUCCGCCGAGGGACUUUGCAUUUCAUGAUUUCACAGUCGAUAAAAGAAGGAUCAGUUGAACACUGAGGUUGAUGUAAUCCACUUACCCCUCCCCUAAAAUUGCUGGCUUUGGACCAAAAUUUGAAACCAAUAAUAUCUAAUAUAAAUUGAUGGUUUGGGGGGGGGGGGUCAAAAUUAAGAAAAUUGCAAAUUUUUUGUGGGGGAAAAAAAACGUUUAAAGUCAUAUUUUCCCUGAAUGAAACAUACGAAUACUAAAGAAAUAUUUUUUUUUAAAACCCACUCCCCAAUUUUUUGCUUUGCAUUGUUAGUGACAGUUAUUCCAAAACUUCACCAAAUAUUUUAAAGAGGAACCAAACUGUACUAUUAUUGAAGAACGCACAAACAAUUGACCUGCUUGAAAAAACAAAAUCCCGUUAUUGAAGAACUGCGUUCAUCUUGUACCAUUGACAACGAUAUAAACACGGUGAUGGUGCUGUUAGACUAAAAGCUCAUAUUCGAACGUGAAAAACGUAUGGUCACGUUGUUUUAUAUGUAAUAAGAUAAAGAAGCAUUACCUUGGUACGGCGUAAAGUAGUUACGAGUGACAGGUAAUCAUAUACGGAGAUGGAUAGAUAGACAGGCUAGUUUAAUUUCGGCAUUUUACUAUUAAUCGUUUUCAUGGCUAUUAUUGCAUCCUUCCUCCAUUACGAAGUAUGUACGAUAUUUCGUUUUAUUAUUCAGAACGUAAAGAUCAGUAUAAUAAAAAGAAAAGUAAAAUAUUUGGUAGUACUCGACUGAACUCGGCGAUGAAAUAAAAUUGGGAGAAUGUUUUAUCUUUGGAACUGAAAAGUUUAUUUUGGAAUUGUUCAUGUAUAGAAUAUAUGACUAACUUCUUAAAACAAUAAGCACCCGUGAGAAUUGGGACAUCAUUAACAAAAUAUGGAAGAACAAUUAACUUUCUUGCGUCGUUGGGAUUAAUUCGUAAUUCAGCAAUGUGCUGUUUGGGAUGCUGCGUUUGGUGAAUAGUAACACAUUCAGAUGAGGGAGAAAAAAAUCCAUCGGAUGUUGUCUAUACAAGGGGUUAUCAAAGCAAGCAAGCAAGAAGCAAAACAAGCAAGCGCAUGGAACAACUCCGGACGUGUUGCGAUCGUAUUGUAACCUCAUCAGCGAAGCAUAGCACUUGUCAUAUUUGAAAGAAGAAUUAACAGGUAAAACUGACGUAAAAGAAAUAAUGAAAUUGCUUAGAUAUAAAUCAGACACCAAUCAGCAUAAAAAACAAUACUUACGUUCGUAUUAACAUUAAAGCUAGAAACAUUAAAAAGUUAAUGGCGAUCUUGCGGAGAAAGUCAUGUAGAUGUCAUUGAUCAAAUCAGCAAUUUUACCUAUUUAUUCGGCAAUUUCCGGUCAUAAUUUUCUAUUUUCAUGUGCUGUUCGAAUCCGACAUUUCCUUUCAUCUCCGUGAGUGAACUGAACAGUCCCCUCUCUCCCUCUCUCUCUCUAUAUAUAUAUAUAGGCGGAGGUAAAAAUACGCAAACCACCCGUUUUCGGCGCAACCCUAACUCUAGACACCGGGUGUGCGUAUUCUUUACCUUCGCCAUAUAUUGUUUUAUUUACAUAUAUAUAUAUACAAAUAAAAUAAAACAAUACAAGAAAAAAAACAACAACGCGAGCAUGUGGUACAUGCAAAGUAUUAAUGAGACGCUCAGGCAAUGAAAGGGUAUUUUACGUUUCGAGCAAAGCUCUUCUUCAGAAACAGGAGACAGAGGAAAGUCCAAGAGAAAAGGAAGACGAAGGAAAAAAAUCGCCAACAAUAUAUACACACACACACACACGCAGCUUUUUUGUUUUCACAAAUCGUUUGCUGGUACUACUAAAGCAGAGUGGUCCCGAACGCGCACCCGCGCUAGCUAGUCGUGAGUGGUCGAUCCUACAAAAAGUGCGCGUACGCGUGUGAAAAUGAAUACAUGUGUUUAUGUUUAGGGUUAGCUAGCGCGGACGCGCGACUGCGCGUUCGGGACCACUCUGCUUUAGUAGUACCUCGUUUGCUUGUGUAUUUUUUUGUGCAUGUGUUUGUGUGUAUGGAUGUAUAGGUCAGUGUGAGGACGUAUGUACAAUAUGUAUUUUUGUAUGUGUUUGUGGGUAUGCAAGUAUAUAUAUGUGCAUGUGACCUAUCUUUCGGUCAGCAGCUGGGGUUAAUUUCUUAUUCAUGUCACCAGUUCUUUUUUGUUUCUCAAUAAACUAAAAAUCGCUUACCUUU
Octopus bimaculoides (California two-spot octopus) is the source of this 2919-nucleotide long non-coding RNA. RefSeq lists it as uncharacterized. The record is from RefSeq and is a predicted model, not a curated record. Lineage: Eukaryota; Metazoa; Mollusca; Cephalopoda; Octopoda; Octopodidae.